RNAcentral lists this ribosomal RNA (440 nucleotides) under uncultured bacterium. Its description in RNAcentral is "partial 16S ribosomal RNA". It matches the Rfam family "Bacterial small subunit ribosomal RNA", at positions 338 to 795 of the family's 1533-position model. The record is from RNAcentral.
CCUACGGGGGGCAGCAGUAGGGAAUUUUGCGCAAUGGGCGAAAGCCUGACGCAGCAACGCCGCGUGAUCGAGACGCCCUUCGGGGUGUAAAGAUCUGUCAGUGGGGACGAAACUUGACGGUACCCACAGAGGAAGCACCGGCUAACUCCGUGUCAGCAGCCGCGGUAAUACGGGGGGUGCAAGCGUUGUCCGGAAUCAUUGGGCGUAAAGAGGUCGUAGGCGGCACGUAAAGUCUGGUGUUAAAGGCAGAAGCUCAACUUCUGUACGGCACUGGAUACUUGCGAGCUAGAGUGCGGUAGAGGUAAAGGGAAUUCCUGGGGUAGCGGUGAAAUGCUUAGAUAUCAGGAGGAACAUCGGUGGCGUAAGCGCUUUACUGGGCCGUAAUUGACGCUGAGGAACGAAAGCCAGGGUAGCAAAUGGGAUUAGAUACCCCAGUAGUC